AUUGAACGCUGGCGGAAUGCUUUACACAUGCAAGUCGAACGGCAGCACGGACUUCGGUCUGGUGGCGAGUGGCGAACGGGUGAGUAAUGUAUCGGAACGUGCCCAGUCGUGGGGGAUAACGUAGUGAAAAUUACGCUAAUACCGCAUACGAUCUAUGGAUGAAAGCGGGGGAUCGCAAGACCUCGCGCGAUUGGAGCGGCCGAUAUCAGAUUAGGUAGUUGGUGGGGUAAAGGCCCACCAAGCCAACGAUCUGUAGCUGGUCUGAGAGGACGACCAGCCACACUGGAACUGAGACACGGUCCAGACGCCUACGGGAGGCAGCAGUGGGGAAUUUUGGACAAUGGGCGAAAGCCUGAUUCAGCCAUUCCGCGUGCAGGAUGAAGGCUCUCGGGUUGUAAACUGCCUUUGUACAGAACGAAAAGGUUUCUACUAAUACUAGGAGCUCAUGACGGUACUGCAAGAAUAAGCACCGGCUAACUACGUGCCAGCAGCCGCCGUAA
Molecule: ribosomal RNA, 500 nt
Filed under: uncultured bacterium
Lineage: Bacteria
Description: partial 16S ribosomal RNA
Rfam family: Bacterial small subunit ribosomal RNA
Source: RNAcentral